GGGCGAAACGCCUUCGGGCGUCUGGCGGGGUGGUUACCCGUCACUGAUGAGCCAGCCAUAC
RNAcentral lists this non-coding RNA (61 nucleotides) under Streptomyces phage R4. Lineage: Duplodnaviria; Heunggongvirae; Uroviricota; Caudoviricetes. The record is from RNAcentral.